CCUACGGGCAGCAGUAGGGAAUAUUGGGCAAUGGAGGCAACUCUGACCCAGCCAUGCCGCGUGCAGGAAGAAGGCGUUAUGCGUUGUAAACUGCUUUUAUAUAGGAAGAAAUAGACCUUGCGAGGUAAGUUGACGGUACUAUAUGAAUAAGCACCGGCUAACUCCGUGCCAGCAGCCGCGGUAAUACGGAGGGUGCAAGCGUUGUCCGGAUUUAUUGGGUUUAAAGGGUGCGUAGGCGGUUUAUUAAGUCAGUGGUGAAAGACGGUCGCUCAACGAUUGCAGUGCCAUUGAUACUGGUAGACUUGAGUGGGAUUGAGGUAGCUGGAAUGGAUAGUGUAGCGGUGAAAUGCAUAGAUAUUAUCCAGAACACCAAUUGCGUAGGCAAGUUACUAAGUCUCAACUGACGCUGAGGCACGAAAGUGUGGGUAUCAAACAGGAUUAGAUACCCUGGUAGUCCACACUGUAAACGAUGAUAACUAACUGUUGGCUUUCGGGUCAGUGGUACAGAGAAAUCGUUAAGUUAUCACCUGGGGAGUACGCCGGCAACGGUGAAACUUAAGGAAUUGACCGGNNGAGAGNGCGAGACGACGACGAGGGAGGAGG
This 603-nucleotide ribosomal RNA is filed under the name uncultured bacterium. Its description in RNAcentral is "bacterial SSU rRNA". It matches the Rfam family "Bacterial small subunit ribosomal RNA", at positions 338 to 948 of the family's 1533-position model. The record is from RNAcentral.